UAGGGAAUCUUCGGCAAUGGGGGCAACCCUGACCGAGCAACGCCGCGUGAGUGAAGAAGGUUUUCGGAUCGUAAAGCUCUGUUGUAAGAGAAAAACGUGUGUGAGAGUGGAAAGUUCACACAGUGACGGUAACUUACCAGAAAGGGACGGCUAACUACGUGGCAG
Molecule: ribosomal RNA, 165 nt
Filed under: uncultured bacterium
Lineage: Bacteria
Description: partial 16S rRNA
Rfam family: Bacterial small subunit ribosomal RNA
Source: RNAcentral